Molecule: non-coding RNA, 32 nt
Filed under: Homo sapiens (human)
Lineage: Eukaryota; Metazoa; Chordata; Mammalia; Primates; Hominidae
Source: RNAcentral
UCCCCAAAAUUCAAUGGGUUCCUCUUUCCUCC